RNAcentral lists this transfer RNA (85 nucleotides) under Felis catus (domestic cat). It matches the Rfam family "tRNA". Rfam says of the family: Transfer RNA (tRNA) molecules are approximately 80 nucleotides in length. Their secondary structure includes four short double-helical elements and three loops (D, anti-codon, and T loops). The record is from Rfam by way of RNAcentral. Lineage: Eukaryota; Metazoa; Chordata; Mammalia; Carnivora; Felidae.
ACCUGGGUGGCUGAGUGGGUUAAGCAUCUGAUUUCAGCUCAGGUCACGGUCUCAGGGUUUGUGGGUUCGAGCCCCACCUUGGGUU